Molecule: ribosomal RNA, 1147 nt
Filed under: uncultured soil bacterium
Lineage: Bacteria
Description: bacterial SSU rRNA
Rfam family: Bacterial small subunit ribosomal RNA
Source: RNAcentral
AGAGUUUGAUCCUGGCUCAGGACGAACGCUGGCGGCGUGCCUAAUACAUGCAAGUCGAGCGGAUCAAAGGGAGCUUGCUCCCUGAGAUCAGCGGCGGACGGGUGAGUAACACGUGGGUAACCUGCCUGUAAGACUGGGAUAACUCCGGGAAACCGGGGCUAAUACCGGAUAACUCAGUUCCUCGCAUGAGGAACUGUUGAAAGGUGGCUUUUCGCUACCACUUACAGAUGGACCCGCGGCGCAUUAGCUAGUUGGUGAGGUAACGGCUCACCAAGGCGACGAUGCGUAGCCGACCUGAGAGGGUGAUCGGCCACACUGGGACUGAGACACGGCCCAGACUCCUACGGGAGGCAGCAGUAGGGAAUCUUCCGCAAUGGACGAAAGUCUGACGGAGCAACGCCGCGUGAGUGAAGAAGGUUUUCGGAUCGUAAAACUCUGUUGUUAGGGAAGAACAAGUGCCGUUCGAAUAGGGCGGCGCCUUGACGGUACCUAACCAGAAAGCCACGGCUAACUACGUGCCAGCAGCCGCGGUAAUACGUAGGUGGCAAGCGUUGUCCGGAAUUAUUGGGCGUAAAGCGCGCGCAGGUGGUUUCUUAAGUCUGAUGUGAAAGCCCACGGCUCAACCGUGGAGGGUCAUUGGAAACUGGGGAACUUGAGUGCAGAAGAGGAAAGUGGAAUUCCAAGUGUAGCGGUGAAAUGCGUAGAUAUUUGGAGGAACACCAGUGGCGAAGGCGACUUUCUGGUCUGUAACUGACACUGAGGCGCGAAAGCGUGGGGAGCAAACAGGAUUAGAUACCCUGGUAGUCCACGCCGUAAACGAUGAGUGCUAAGUGUUAGAGGGUUUCCGCCCUUUAGUGCUGCAGCUAACGCAUUAAGCACUCCGCCUGGGGAGUACGGUCGCAAGACUGAAACUCAAGGGAAUUGACGGGGGCCCGCACAAGCGGUGGAGCAUGUGGGUUUAAUUCGAAGCAACGCGAAGAACCUUACCAGGUCUUGACAUCCUCUGACAACCCUAGAGAUAGGGCUUUCCCCUUCGGGGGACAGAGUGACAGGUGCUGCAUGCUUGUCGUCAGCUCGUGUCGUGAGAAUUGUUGGGUUAAGUCCCGCAAACGAGCGCAACCCUUGAUCUUAGUUGCCAGCCAUUCAG